GAUGAACGCUGGCGGCAUGCCUAACACAUGCAAGUCGAGCGAACAGAUGGGGCUUUUUCUCCUUUGCAGUGGGCGGCGGGCGGGUAAUUCCCACGUGUAUGACCUGCCUAUAGGACUGGGAUACCUACACGGGACCGGAUCUAAUACCCGAUAACAUAUUGAAACUGGUGGUUCUAUAGUUCACGUCGUAUUUGCUGAGACUAAUAGAUGGUUCCUCGCCGUAUUAGCUAGUUGGUAAGGUAACGGCUUACCAAGGCUAGGAUCCGUAACCGACCUGAGAGGGUGAUCGGUCACACUGGAACUGAGACACGGUCCAGACUCCUACGGGAGGCAGCAGUAGGGAAUAUUACGCAAUGGGCGAAAGCCUGAUGGAGCAAAGCCGCGUGAGUGAUGAAGGUCUUCGGAUCGUAAAGCGCUGUUAGCAGGGAGGAACAAAUGUGAGUGUAACCGUGCACAUCUUGACGGUACCAGAAGAAAAAGCCCCGGCUAACUACGUG
This 497-nucleotide ribosomal RNA is filed under the name uncultured bacterium. RNAcentral describes it as "partial 16S ribosomal RNA". It matches the Rfam family "Bacterial small subunit ribosomal RNA", at positions 28 to 507 of the family's 1533-position model. The record is from RNAcentral.